GAUGAAGAACGCAGCGAAAUGCGAUAAGUAGUGUGAAUUGCAGAAUUCAGUGAAUCAUCGAAUCUUUGAACGCACAUUGCGGCCAUAGGUAUUCCUUUGGCCAUGCCUGUUCGAGCGUCAUUUACACCCUCAAGCCUAGCUUGGUGUUGGGCGUCUGUCCCGCCGUUCUCGCGCGCGGACUCGCCUCAAAGUCAUUGGCGGCGGUCGUGCCGGCCCCCUCGCGCAGCACAUUUGCGCUUCUCGGAGGCCCGGCGGAUCCGCGCUCCAGCAAGACCUUUCACGACUUGACCUCGGAUCAGGUAGGGAUACCCGCUGAACUUAAGCAUAUCAAUAGCGAGGA
RNAcentral lists this unclassified non-coding RNA (340 nucleotides) under soil metagenome. RNAcentral describes it as "partial contains 5.8S ribosomal RNA, internal transcribed spacer 2, and large subunit ribosomal RNA". The stretch from base 1 to 120 matches the Rfam family "5.8S ribosomal RNA", at positions 35 to 154 of the family's 154-position model. The record is from RNAcentral.